ACUAGCCGUUAAUGGCAUUUGCGCCUCUCAGGAUUCUGAACGGGAAUUCAUCCUGCUUGAUCCGAACGGUGAAGAAGCGAAGGAUGCCGCCCAGUUUGCAGUGGAAGCCCAGGGGGUUACCCUUGUACAGGUCAACAGAGCGGAGAUGAUGUUUGAGAACUUGCAGUACCGAAUCUUCCUUGAUGUUAACGUUUGCGACGAAGCUGGGUCUUGCGUCUUGCGCGACUGUUUCGCACAUGUCAUUCAGCCCACGCAGUAUCCAGAACGGUUCCUCAAAGAUUUUUUAUGCAUAAGGUAGUAACAUGCACAGCUUGAUCUUGAAGACCUCGUAGCAGACAAGGAAUAACAUUACACAUCCAUCAGAAGAUUGUUGUACAACUGAUUUAAUAAAGAGCUGAUGUGU
Long non-coding RNA from Ornithodoros turicata, 403 nucleotides. RefSeq lists it as uncharacterized. NCBI's taxonomy places the organism in Eukaryota, Metazoa, Arthropoda, Arachnida, Ixodida, Argasidae. The record is from RefSeq and is a predicted model, not a curated record. The transcript has 4 exons.